RNAcentral lists this ribosomal RNA (402 nucleotides) under uncultured prokaryote. RNAcentral describes it as "bacterial SSU rRNA". It matches the Rfam family "Bacterial small subunit ribosomal RNA", at positions 355 to 774 of the family's 1533-position model. The record is from RNAcentral.
UAGGGAAUAUUGGUAAUCUGGGAAACCGGGAACCAGCAACGCCGCGUGUGCGAUGAAGGCCUUCGGGUUGUAAAGCACUUUUUGAGGGGAUGAGGAAGGACAGUACCCUCAGAAUAAGCCUCGGCUAACUACGUGCCAGCAGCCGCGGUAACACGUAGGAGGCGAGCGUUAUUCGGAUUUACUGGGCGUAAAGCGCGUGCAGGCGGCUCGAUAAGUUGGAUGUGAAAGCUCCCGGCUUAACUGGGAGAGGUCGUUCAAUACUGUCGGACUAGAGGAUGAGAGAGGGAGGUGGAAUUCCGAGUGUAGUGGUGGAAUGCGUAGAUAUUCGGAGGAACACCAGUGGCGAAAGCGGCCUCCUGGCUCAUAUCUGACGCUCAGACGCGAAAGCUAGGGUAGCAAACG